UGGAGGUUUAUUUUGUCCAAGACCUUGUGCCCAGGAGGCGAACUCGGCUGGAGGCGAGGUCAGCUGACCGCGAUGCCCCCUGGAGGUGCCGCCGCACAGGGUCCCGCGUGGAUAGUCCUCGGGGAAACGGCCUUUCCACGCGGAUCCUUCUUCAUCUGGGACAUUGACGCUGUCAUGUUGUUUAAUUUCUAUCAUAUCUCACACAGCUAAUCAUUUUAAAUCUGUGAAGUUUCUUCUGAAAAUUAGGACUUUGUAGUUGCCACAAGUUCCACUAGAGGGCGGCAAAGGGCUACAUCUGAGCGAAGCUGCUGGGAGGAAAAACGAUUGAAAAGCCUUUGCUGGGGUUAAGCGGAAUGCGCGGGGCGUCUGCUCCCCGGCUUCCCAACGUAAAAUCGUUGUAACUGCUAGAAGCAUCAGAGAACUUUAAUGGACCAGCAGUAAACCGUGUGUGUUGGGCACACAAUUUACAAAUGAGAAAUCGAGCUCACUGCCCCGAAGAGGAUCACAGCCCAGGCCAUGCUUCCAACCCAGCGGCCGGUUAUCCUUGGAACACAUCUUUAUGCUUUGACUGCUAACUCGCAUGGAGGACAGCAACCCGAGAAGUCAUCCUGUCUACCCGGCUGCUAAGUGCGAUGACAGGAGAAACAAGGAUCCACCCCCAUAGGUCCGUCCAUAGGCCGCUCCCCCAGACCUCCUUGUCUCCCACCUCCCAGUCUCGCUCCUUCCACGCCCCUGAGAAGCUGGGAGGCAGAGAGAGGCAGGCACUUGAUGCCGGAAGCUGAUGGUGUGCACGGGAAGUGUCUCUCACUGCAGGUAACUCAGAUGUGGGCCAGGUGGAAGUCUGCUGUAUAAGACGACCCCAUUUUCCCAACAGGAUCCCC
This 881-nucleotide long non-coding RNA is filed under the name Equus caballus (horse). Its description in RNAcentral is "lncRNA (ENSECAG00000048617.1)". The record is from RNAcentral. Lineage: Eukaryota; Metazoa; Chordata; Mammalia; Perissodactyla; Equidae.